UAUUUCUUUAAAUCAGUCCAGAGAGGCUGGCAAGAAGAUAGAUAUAAUUACAGGGCACACUAUAUUUAUGUAUAUAACUUCUUGCGAAAGUAAGAAGUUUUUUUAUUU
Molecule: regulatory RNA element, 108 nt
Organism: Clostridium sulfidigenes
Lineage: Bacteria; Bacillati; Bacillota; Clostridia; Eubacteriales; Clostridiaceae
Rfam family: PyrR binding site
About the family: This family represents the PyrR binding site and terminator structure.
Source: Rfam